AGUCGAACGGCAGCACGGGAGCUUGCUCCUGGUGGCGAGUGGCGAACGGGUGAGUAAUAUAUCGGAACGUGCCCUAGAGUGGGGGAUAACUAGUCGAAAGAUUAGCUAAUACCGCAUACGAUCUAAGGAUGAAAGUGGGGGAUCGCAAGACCUCAUGCUCGUGGAGCGGCCGAUAUCUGAUUAGCUAGUUGGUGAGGUAAAGGCUCACCAAGGCGACGAUCAGUAGCUGGUCUGAGAGGACGACCAGCCACACUGGAACUGAGACACGGUCCAGACUCCUACGGGAGGCAGCAGUGGGGAAUUUUGGACAAUGGGGGCAACCCUGAUCCAGCAAUGCCGCGUGAGUGAAGAAGGCCUUCGGGUUGUAAAGCUCUUUUGUCAGGGAAGAAACGGUAGAGGCUAAUAUCCUUUGCUAAUGACGGUACCUGAAGAAUAAGCACCGGCUAACUACGUGCCAGCAGCCGCGGUAAUACGUAGGGUGCAAGCGUUAAUCGGAAUUACUGGGCGUAAAGCGUGCGCAGGCGGUUGUGCAAGACAGAUGUGAAAUCCCCGGGCUCAACCUGGGAAUUGCAUUUGUGACUGCACAGCUAGAGUGUGUCAGAGGGGGGUAGAAUUCCACGUGUAGCAGUGAAAUGCGUAGAUAUGUGGAGGAAUACCGAUGGCGAAGGCAGCCGCCUGGGAUAACACUGACGCUCAUGCACGAAAGCGUGGGGAGCAAACAGGAUUAGAUACCCUGGUAGUCCACGCCCUAAACGAUGUCUACUAGUUGUCGGGUCUUAAUUGACUUGGUAACGCAGCUACGCGUGAAGUAGACCGCCUGGGGAGUACGGUCGCAAGAUUAAAACUCACAGGAAUUGACGGGGACCCGCACAAGCGGUGAUGAUGUGGAUUAAUUCGAUGCACGCGAAAACCUUAUCUACCUUGACAUGGU
RNAcentral lists this ribosomal RNA (931 nucleotides) under uncultured bacterium. RNAcentral describes it as "bacterial SSU rRNA". It matches the Rfam family "Bacterial small subunit ribosomal RNA", at positions 60 to 990 of the family's 1533-position model. The record is from RNAcentral.